AUUUAUAUAGUUUAAAAAAACGUAACACUUUCAUUGUUAAAUUGGAAAAUUUUCCUUUAAAUA
RNAcentral lists this transfer RNA (63 nucleotides) under Scolytinae sp. BMNH 1274291. Its description in RNAcentral is "tRNA-Glu". It matches the Rfam family "tRNA". Rfam says of the family: Transfer RNA (tRNA) molecules are approximately 80 nucleotides in length. Their secondary structure includes four short double-helical elements and three loops (D, anti-codon, and T loops). The record is from RNAcentral. Lineage: Eukaryota; Metazoa; Arthropoda; Insecta; Coleoptera; Curculionidae.